This 445-nucleotide ribosomal RNA is filed under the name uncultured bacterium. Its description in RNAcentral is "partial 16S ribosomal RNA". It matches the Rfam family "Bacterial small subunit ribosomal RNA", at positions 338 to 795 of the family's 1533-position model. The record is from RNAcentral.
CCUACGGGGGGCAGCAGUCGAGAAUCAUUCACAAUGGGGGAAACCCUGAUGGUGCGACGCCGCGUGGGGGCAUGAAGGUCUUCGGAUUGUACACCCCUGUCAUGUGGGAGCAAAUUAAAAAGAUAGUACCACAAGAGGAAGAGACGGCUAACUCUGUGCCAGCAGCCGCGGUAAUACAGAGGUCUCAAGGGUUGUUCGGAAUCACUGGGCGUAAAGCGUGCGUAGGCUGUUUCGUAAGUCGUGUGUGAAAGGCGCGGGCUCAACCCGAGACGGCACAUGAUACUGCGAGACUAGAGUAAUGGAGGGGGAACCGGAAUUCUCGGUGUAGCAGUGAAAUGCGUAGAUAUCGAGAGGAACACUCGUGGCGAAGGCGGGUUCCUGGACAUUAACUGACGCUGAGGCACGAAGGCCAGGGGAGCGAAAGGGAUUAGAUACCCCAGUAGUC